This 292-nucleotide ribosomal RNA is filed under the name uncultured bacterium. Its description in RNAcentral is "partial 16S ribosomal RNA". The record is from RNAcentral.
GGACUACCCGGGUAUCUAAUCCUGUUCGCUCCCCUGGCUUUCGCGCCUCAGCGUCAGGUACCAUCCAGGACACUGCCUUCGCCUUUGGUAUUCCUCCGGAUAUCUACGCAUUUCACCACUCCACCCGGAAUUCUAUGUCCCUCUCUGGUCCUCAAGUCCGCCAGUUUUCAGAGGCCUUGCUCAGUUAAGCUGAACACUGUCACUCUAAACUUGGCAGACCGCCUGCACGCCCUUUACGCCCAGUAACUCCGGACAACGCUCGCCCCCUACGUAUUACCGCGGCUGCUGGCAC